Molecule: transfer-messenger RNA, 388 nt
Filed under: Methanobacteriota archaeon
Lineage: Archaea; Methanobacteriati; Methanobacteriota
Also listed under: 1 other name
Description: Euryarchaeota archaeon transfer-messenger RNA
Rfam family: transfer-messenger RNA
About the family: Bacterial tmRNA, also known as 10Sa RNA or SsrA, is named for its dual tRNA and mRNA-like properties. Its role is to liberate the mRNA from a stalled ribosome. To accomplish this part of the tmRNA is used as a reading frame that ends in a translation stop signal.
Source: RNAcentral
GGGGCAGUAAUGGAAUCGACUUAUUGUUGAGGAAUAUGAAUUGCACGUCGAGAUACCGAUGGUCUCGUAAAACUCGGUCACAGAUAAUUGGUAACAAGAAAUCUGAUCUCUUUGCGAAGAUUGUGGAGGCAUUUGAGUCUGCACCUGCGCAAGAGUUAGCGCACGCUUAAACAAGCGUACGUCAUAUAAGUUAUGGUUGUACCUUAUAUGGCGCAAUUACAACCUGCUGUGUAGUAACUCUGGCGAGAGCCUGCAAUAAGUUUAACGCUAGGUUAUGUAUGGGUUUGCUGGUUUAGACAUACAUAGCCGAAAUUAAAGACCGGAUAUGCGUGUAGAGGUUGAUAGGAUCACCUUAAGGACGCGGGUUCGACUCCCGCCUGCUCCACCA